GAUGAAGAACGUAGCGAAACGCGAUAGUUAAUGUGAAUUGCAGAAUUCAGUGAAUCAUCGAGUCUUUGAACGCACAUUGCGCCCCCUGGUAUUCCGGGGGGCAUGCCUGUCCGAGCGUCAUUGCUGCCCAUCAAGCGCGGCUUGUGUGUUGGGCCGCCGUCCGCCUUCCCCCCCGGGGGGAGGGGGACGGGCCCGAAAGGCAGCGGCGGCACCGCGUCCGGUCCUCGAGCGUAUGGGGCUCUGUCACCCGCUCUGGAGGCCCGGCCGGCGCCCGCCGACCCCCAACCUUCUUCUAACCAGGUUGACCUCGUAUCAGGUAGGGAUACCCGCUGAACUUAAGCAUAUCAAAAAGCGGAGGA
Molecule: unclassified non-coding RNA, 359 nt
Filed under: soil metagenome
Description: partial contains 5.8S ribosomal RNA, internal transcribed spacer 2, and large subunit ribosomal RNA
Rfam family: 5.8S ribosomal RNA (bases 1-120)
Source: RNAcentral